CUAUAUGUUCUCACAAUGAAUAUAUUGCAGUCGAUUUUCUUUUUUUAAAUAAAAUAGAGAAAACACAGCCUUUAUUUAGUACAUAAUUUCAAUAUAUAUAAGUUAUUAAGUGUGGAUGUUUAAAUAAAAAUUCAAUAUGGAUUCAUAGUAACACCAUAUAGUGUUAUUUUGUCUCUGUUAUCUAUGUUGUUUUAUCUUUUAGUUUGUUCGUACUUUUAAUAUAAUCUCUAGUUGAAAAUUAUUCCCUGUGUUACCAUCCUUUCACUACAUCAAGUAAGCGUAAUAAUGAAUCACUAUACAAAUUAUUGAGAGAUAAUAAAUACUUCACUACAUUUAUAUUUUAAAAAUAAUUAAUAGUUUACUGUCUUUGCAUCACUUUCGUUAGUUGACCCGUUAGUUAGACUUACAAAAUACUAAUUUUGAACCUAGUGAGUAACUCCUAAAUAAAAAAAAAAAUGAUUCAAAUCAAUGUCAUAUGAAUUUAUAGUUAUGUCUUGUUCUUGGUGUGAAAAAACUUAUCAUUACUGCUUAAAUUUACAAUGAUAAUUAAAUGACAAUAUCAUCCCUACAAUUGAUAUGUUGCAUGAUCAAUUAUAAAUUGGUGGAAAUAUAGUAAACUAUUAUUUUUAAAAAGUUAAUGAAGUAUUGCCUCCAAUAAUUCAUGUAGUGAUUUUUUAUUUCACAAUUCUUGUUACAGUAAACGGAUAAUAAACCUUAGACUUAAUUAUAAAUUUAUAUUUCAUUUAAUCAAAAUAUAAUUUUGCCCAUCUGACAUCAAUGUGACAUCAUCAUUAGACUAAUGAUAGCUACAAAAAUAUAAUAAAUUAUUUUUUCUAAAAGGUGAUGUAACCUUUUAACAAUUCGUAUAGUAGUUUAUUAUUUCAUAAUACGCGGCAUAGUGAAAGGAUAAUAUCCUUUGUUGUGUGUGUGUGUGUGUGUGUGUAGACAGCGGCUUAACAUCUCAGAUUCUCAAUAUCUCAUACCAAUGAAAAAACGAAAAUAAAUUUUAGUUCAUGACUUAUAUGACAUAAAUGAAAAUUUAAUAAACUUACUUGACAAAUAGCAUAGCCUAAGGCUUUAUUGGUAUAACCUUUCAAAUAAACCUUAUCUAAGUGCAGUUUUUUUCAAUAGAGUUUUAAUAAAUAAAGUUUUUAUUAAA
RNAcentral lists this long non-coding RNA (1159 nucleotides) under Citrus x clementina. RNAcentral describes it as "Citrus clementina (C. clementina) long non-coding RNA (CCLE_LNC001984)". The record is from RNAcentral. Lineage: Eukaryota; Viridiplantae; Streptophyta; Magnoliopsida; Sapindales; Rutaceae.